CAUUAAGAAGCUAUGGACAAGCACUAGCCUUUUAAGCUAGAGAAAGAGGAAUCUCUCCUCCUUAAUGA
RNAcentral lists this transfer RNA (68 nucleotides) under Falcipennis falcipennis. Its description in RNAcentral is "tRNA-Lys". It matches the Rfam family "tRNA". From Rfam's summary of the family: Transfer RNA (tRNA) molecules are approximately 80 nucleotides in length. Lineage: Eukaryota; Metazoa; Chordata; Aves; Galliformes; Phasianidae. The record is from RNAcentral.